RNAcentral lists this ribosomal RNA (207 nucleotides) under uncultured bacterium. RNAcentral describes it as "partial 16S ribosomal RNA". It matches the Rfam family "Bacterial small subunit ribosomal RNA", at positions 568 to 774 of the family's 1533-position model. The record is from RNAcentral.
CGCGUAGGCGGCCGAAUAAGUUGAAUGUGAAAUUCCCGAGCUUAACUCGGGACGUGCAUUCAAAACUGUUUGGCUUGAGUAUGGUAGAGGUAAGUGGAAUUCCUAGUGUAGCGGUGGAAUGCGUAGAUAUUAGGAGGAACACCAGUGGCGAAGGCGACUUACUGGGCCAUUACUGACGCUGAGGCGCGAAAGCGUGGGGAGCAAACA